Molecule: ribosomal RNA, 1957 nt
Filed under: human gut metagenome
Description: bacterial LSU rRNA
Rfam family: Bacterial large subunit ribosomal RNA
Source: RNAcentral
UUAAGUUAAUAAGGGCGCACGGUGGAUGCCUUGGCACUAGAAGCCGAUGAAGGACGUGACUAACGACGAAAUGCUUUGGGGAGCUGUAAGUGAGCAAUGAUCCAGAGAUGUCCGAAUGGGGGAACCCGGCAGGUAAUGCCUGUCACUCAUUACUGUUAAGGUAAUGUAGAGGAAGACGCAGUGAACUGAAACAUCUAAGUAGCUGCAGGAAGAGAAAGCAAAAGCGAUUGCCUUAGUAGCGGCGAGCGAAACGGCAAGAGGGCAAACCGAAGAGUUUACUCUUCGGGGUUGUAGGACUGCAACGUGGACUUAAAGAUUAUAGAAGAACUACCUGGGAAGGUAGGCCAAAGAGAGUAAUAGCCUCGUAUUCGAAAUAGUCUUUAUACCUAGCAGUAUCCUGAGUAAGGCGAGACACGAGAACUCUCGUCGGAAUCUGGGAGGACCAUCCCCCAACCCUAAAUACUCUCUAGUGACCGAUAGUGAACCAGUACCGUGAGGGAAAGGUGAAAAGCACCCCGGGAGGGGAGUGAAAUAGAACCUGAAACCGUGUGCCUACAACAAGUUCGAGCCCGUUAAUGGGUGAGAGCGUGCCUUUUGUAGAAUGAACCGGCGAGUUACGAUAUGAUGCGAGGUUAAGUUGAAGAGACGGAGCCGUAGGGAAACCGAGUCUUAAUAGGGCGCAUUAGUAUCAUGUCGUAGACCCGAAACCAUGUGACCUACCCAUGAGCAGGUUGAAGGUGAGGUAAAACUCACUGGAGGACCGAACCAGGGCACGUUGAAAAGUGCUUGGAUGACUUGUGGGUAGCGGAGAAAUUCCAAACGAACUUGGAGAUAGCUGGUUCUCUCCGAAAUAGCUUUAGGGCUAGCGUCGACAUUAGAGAUUCUUGGAGGUAGAGCACUGUUUGGGUGAGGGGUCCAUCCCGGAUUACCAAUCUCAGAUAAACUCCGAAUGCCAAUGAAUUAUGGUCGGCAGUCAGACUGCGAGUGCUAAGAUCCGUAGUCGAAAGGGAAACAGCCCAGACCACCAGCUAAGGUCCCAAAAUAAUUGUUAAGUGGAAAAGGAUGUGGGGUUGCACAGACAACUAGGAUGUUAGCUUGGAAGCAGCUAUUCAUUCAAAGAGUGCGUAAUAGCUCACUAGUCGAGUGACCCUGCGCCGAAAAUGUACCGGGGCUAAAACAUAUUACCGAAGCUGUGGAUACCUUUAUAGGUAUGGUAGGAGAGCGUUCUAUGUGCGAAGAAGGUGUACCGUGAGGAGUGCUGGAGCGCAUAGAAGUGAGAAUGCCGGUAUGAGUAGCGAAAGACAGGUGAGAAUCCUGUCCACCGUAAGACUAAGGUUUCCAGGGGAAGGCUCGUCCGCCCUGGGUUAGUCGGGACCUAAGGAGAGACCGAAAGGUGUAUCCGAUGGACAACAGGUUGAUAUUCCUGUACUAGAGUAUAUAGUGAUGGAGGGACGCAGUAGGCUAACUAAACCAGACGAUUGGAAGUGUCUGGCCAAGCAGUGAGGUGUGAUAUGAGUCAAAUGCUUAUAUCUAUAACAUUGAGCUGUGAUGGGGAGCGAAGUUUAGUAGCGAAGUUAGUGAUGUCACACUGCCGAGAAAAGCUUCUAGCGUUAAUUAUACUCUACCCGUACCGCAAACCGACACAGGUAGUCGAGGCGAGUAGCCUCAGGUGAGCGAGAGAACUCUCGUUAAGGAACUCGGCAAAUUGGCCCCGUAACUUCGGGAGAAGGGGCGCUGGCUUUAAGUCAGCCGCAGUGAAUAGGCCCAAGCAACUGUUUAUCAAAAACACAGCUCUCUGCUAAAUCGUAAGAUGAUGUAUAGGGGGUGACGCCUGCCCGGUGCUGGAAGGUUAAGAGGAGUGCUUAGCAAUAGCGAAGGUAUGAAUUGAAGCCCCAGUAAACGGCGGCCGUAACUAUAACGGUCCUAAGGUAGCGAAAUUCCUUGUCGGGUAAGUUCC